CCUGUGCCUAUGAUGAAUGUUGAACCUGUGUCAGGAUUUGAACCACUGGGCAUGUAAAUCUCACUAGGUUUUUUCUGAGGCAUGUU
Small nucleolar RNA from Oryza rufipogon (brownbeard rice), 86 nucleotides. It matches the Rfam family "Small nucleolar RNA Z182". From Rfam's summary of the family: Z182 is a member of the C/D class of snoRNA which contain the C (UGAUGA) and D (CUGA) box motifs. Most of the members of the box C/D family function in directing site-specific 2'-O-methylation of substrate RNAs. NCBI's taxonomy places the organism in Eukaryota, Viridiplantae, Streptophyta, Magnoliopsida, Poales, Poaceae. The record is from Rfam.